RNAcentral lists this non-coding RNA (48 nucleotides) under Schistosoma curassoni. The record is from RNAcentral. Lineage: Eukaryota; Metazoa; Platyhelminthes; Trematoda; Strigeidida; Schistosomatidae.
AUCCAGUUGACGAGUGCCAAAUAGGACGAAGUUGUCAGCGUCCUGGAU